GACGAACGCUGGCGGCGUGCCUAAUACAUGCAAGUCGUGCGGACCUUGUUGAAAGCUUGCUUUUAAAAGGUUAGCGGCGGACGGGUGAGUAACACGUGGGCAACCUGCCUGUAAGACUGGGAUAACGCCGGGAAACCGGGGCUAAUACCAGAUCGUUUUUUCCUCCGCAUGGAGGAAAAAGGAAAGGCGGCUUCGGCUGCCACUUACAGAUGGGCCCGCGGCGCAUUAGCUAGUUGGCGGGGUAAUGGCCCACCAAGGCAACGAUGCGUAGCCGACCUGAGAGGGUGAUCGGCCACAUUGGGACUGAGACACGGCCCAAACUCCUACGGGAGGCAGCAGUAGGGAAUCUUCCGCAAUGGACGGAAGUCUGACGGAGCAACGCCGCGUGAGUGAAGAAGGCCUUCGGGUCGUAAAACUCUGUUGCCGGGGAAGAACAAGUGCCGUUCGAACAGGGCGGCGCCUUGACGGUACCCGGCCAGAAAGCCACGGCUAACUACGUG
RNAcentral lists this ribosomal RNA (500 nucleotides) under uncultured bacterium. RNAcentral describes it as "partial 16S ribosomal RNA". It matches the Rfam family "Bacterial small subunit ribosomal RNA", at positions 28 to 507 of the family's 1533-position model. The record is from RNAcentral.